Molecule: ribosomal RNA, 253 nt
Filed under: uncultured bacterium
Lineage: Bacteria
Description: partial 16S ribosomal RNA
Rfam family: Bacterial small subunit ribosomal RNA
Source: RNAcentral
UACGUAGGGUGCAAGCGUUAAUCGGAAUUACUGGGCGUAAAGCGUGCGCAGGCGGUUUUGUAAGCCAGAUGUGAAAUCCCCGGGCUUAACCUGGGAAUGGCAUUUGGGACUGCAAGGCUUGAGUUUGGCAGAGGAGACUGGAAUUCCUGGUGUAGCAGUGAAAUGCGUAGAUAUCAGGAGGAAUACCGAUGGCGAAGGCAGGUCUCUGGGCUAGAACUGACGCUCAUGCACGAAAGCGUGGGGAGCAAACAGG